UAUCGCUAUAAUUCGUCACCAGAGGGAUAUCGGCCUAAUCUACAUUUGUCAGCGCUAAUCCUCAGUAGAUAAAGAGCCAAAGAGCCAGAAACCCAAUGGACAAAGAUGAAGUAACAAGACGUCGUAAGAUUUACCAUUCCAAUUUUAAAGAAGAUUUUUUCUUAAUAUUUAUUGGUUUUUUUGUGUUUUUAAGGAACUUUUUAAAUAUAGGCAGUUGUGUAGCCUAAAAAGGAAGGUCCAGCUGUCUGUACUUUGUUCUAGAACACUUUGUAAAAAUGAGGGAUAUCGGCCUAAUCUACAUUUGUCAGCGCUAAUCCUCAGUAGAUAAAGAGCCAAAGAGCCAGAAACCCAAUGGACAAAGAUGAAGUAACAAGACGUCGAACUUUUUAAAUAUAGGCAGUUGUGUAGCCUAAAAAGGAAGGUCCAGCUGUCUGUACUUUGUUCUAUAACACUUUGUAAAAAUGGUAAUCGUCUGAAAUAUAUAUUUUUAGAACGACUUUGUCUUUUAAUUUUGUAA
Molecule: long non-coding RNA, 517 nt
Filed under: Centruroides sculpturatus (bark scorpion)
Lineage: Eukaryota; Metazoa; Arthropoda; Arachnida; Scorpiones; Buthidae
Description: uncharacterized LOC111632381
Source: RNAcentral